Molecule: ribosomal RNA, 252 nt
Filed under: uncultured bacterium
Lineage: Bacteria
Description: partial 16S ribosomal RNA
Rfam family: Bacterial small subunit ribosomal RNA
Source: RNAcentral
UACGGGGGGGCAAGCGUUGUUCGGAAUUACUGGGCGUAAAGGGCUCGUAGGCGGCUUUGUAAGUUAGAGGUGAAAGCCUGGAGCUCAACUCCAGAAUUGCCUUUGAUACUGCAUGGCUUGAAUCCAGGAGAGGUGAGUGGAAUUCCGAGUGUAGAGGUGAAAUUCGUAGAUAUUCGGAAGAACACCAGUGGCGAAGGCGGCUCACUGGACUGGUAUUGACGCUGAGGUGCGAAAGCGUGGGGAGCAAACAGG